RNAcentral lists this ribosomal RNA (274 nucleotides) under uncultured bacterium. RNAcentral's name for it is "partial 16S ribosomal RNA". It matches the Rfam family "Bacterial small subunit ribosomal RNA", at positions 523 to 796 of the family's 1533-position model. The record is from RNAcentral.
AUACGGAGGGGGCUAGCGUUGUUCGGAAUUACUGGGCGUAAAGCGCGCGUAGGCGGUCCGCGUAGUCAGGCGUGAAAGCCCUCGGCUUAACCGAGGAAUUGCAUUCGAUACUGUCUAGCUAGAGUGCGGGAGGGGAGAGUGGAACUCUAGGUGUAGCGGUGAAAUGCGUAGAUAUCUAGAGGAACGCCGGUGGCGAAAGCGACUCUCUGGCCCGCAACUGACGCUGAGGCGCGAAAGCUAGGGUAGCGAACGGGAUUAGAAACCCCAGUAGUCC